RNAcentral lists this ribosomal RNA (334 nucleotides) under uncultured Aminicenantes bacterium. Its description in RNAcentral is "bacterial SSU rRNA". It matches the Rfam family "Bacterial small subunit ribosomal RNA", at positions 1049 to 1382 of the family's 1533-position model. Lineage: Bacteria; Candidatus Aminicenantota. The record is from RNAcentral.
CUGUCGUCAGCUCGUGUCGUGAGAUGUUGGGUUAAGUCCCGCAACGAGCGCAACCCUUGCCAUUAGUUGUCAGCGAGUCAUGUCGGAUACUCUAAUGGGACUGCCGGUGACGAGCCGGAGGAAGGUGGGGAUGACGUCAAGUCAGCAUGGCCUUUAUGUCCAGGGCCACACACGUGCUACAAUGGACGGUACAGAGGGACGCAAGACCGCAAGGUGGAGCAAAUCCUCAAAACCGUUCUCAGUUCGGAUUGCAGGCUGCAAUUCGCCUGCAUGAAGCUGGAAUUGCUAGUAAUCGCAGAUCAGCUACGCUGCGGUGAAUACGUUCUCGGGCCUU